Non-coding RNA from Camelina sativa (false flax), 1832 nucleotides. Lineage: Eukaryota; Viridiplantae; Streptophyta; Magnoliopsida; Brassicales; Brassicaceae. The record is from RefSeq and is a predicted model, not a curated record.
AUGGAUUAAACCUAUUAAUCUCUCCUCCGCACGCUCCAUCUCCACCGGUUGCUCUUCUCCUUAACUCACAAUCCAUGCUGUUUCACCAUUUGAUGCGAAUUGAAGUCUUCCAUCAGAUCUGCUGAUUCUGGCGAUGUUCUUGUCGUUCAUUACAGCGGACACGGGACGAGGUUGCCCACUGAGACUGGUGAAGACGAUGAUACUGGCUACGAGGAGUGUAUUUUUCCUUGCACGUGAAUUUAGAGGAGAAUCGAGAAGCAACCCAACACUAAUCGAUGGUCAAUGAUUCAAUCUCUCUUUCGAUGCUCCAAUCUCUUUCUAUUGAUGGUUUCCGACAGUGAAUCCCCAGAAAAAUUCUUAUUUUGAUGAUUUUGUACUUGUGGACAAAAUUUGCCUCAAGGAUUACAAGUUUGUGUGUGGUGAUGUUGUAGUUUUCAAGUAUGUUCCUUAUACCAAACCACGUUUGAGUCAUCCUUUGACAAGAACUAUAUAAUGAGUUUUAGUUGAUUACAUGUAAUAUGAUGGAUAUGAUGAUGUGGUAUGGCCUCCCAAAGAGUUAGCAAGAUUGGUCGAUAAAUCUAAUUGAGAAGAAGAAGGAGAAUGACAUGGUAUGUUUCUUCCUUUUCCAAAAGAAAACUCCCUUCUUCAUGUUACAUCUAUAUUUUAAUCUCAAAUCAGAAUUAGUCAUCACGUCUCAAUGAUAACAAACCGUGAACACAUUCUUGUAUUGGAACAAUGGUUUUAGCUCAUAUAGUAAUUUUUAGCCUCAUUGUGGCUCCGGUUUGCUUGCUGGCUCCGAUUUUAUGUUUAUUUCAGGUGUGGCAAACGGCUUCUCUUUACCAUUUGGUUUACACUGCAGCUCUUCUUUCUGCACCUAGCACCAAAUAUCCCAACCUUGAUUUAGAACAGUUGAAGCUAAACCAGACAUAUGAGAGAACCAUAUACUAGAUUAGUUACUUCUGUUUUUGCAAGUCCGCUUAAUUGUCUUGCUUAUUGGAGAGUAGAAAAUUAUACUUUUGUGUAAAUGGAAGAGAGCUGUUGAUUUGGAUUACUAUUUGAUUACUAUGUAUGGUGAGCUGUUGCAGCAGCAAAUUCAUAACAUUUCUACAAAGAGAACUACAGCAGGUGGAGAUUGAACUUCGAGCCCAAUGAUUACAAUGGAAUCAAGAGAAGGACAGAGAGCUUCAUGCGAUUAAACUACAAAGAGGGCAUUGUUGGAUUCGACGUUGGGUUAGCAGCAAUGGGAAAUCGAGCAGGAGGAACCUAUGAGCUGUAAGUGUAUCGAGGCAUGUAAGAAGGUGAGGAUGGAGAUUUGAAUGUAUCUUUUUUAUAUAAAAAAACUAUUUUCUGUAUUUAUUUGAGUAUUUGACUAUGAUAUGUUAUGUUCUAUAAAAUAUUGAGAAUCGAUUGUUGCAGUAAACAAUCUGAUUUAUAGUUUUUACUUUUCUUUUUGUUCCUUUUACUGUUUUUGGGAUAGUGCGGCUUUGUAGGGUGAAUCUGGAAGCUACUAUUUUUGGGAUAGUGCCGCUUACUUUAAGCUACAGAUAUUGAGAACCAGUGGUGAGUGAGCAAGAACCCAAAAGAGAGAGCUGAAGAGAUUAGAGAGAAGAGGAGCGUUUUGUCUAAGACAGAGUAGUUGAUGUUUUUGUAUAUAAGAUUUGGUUUGGAUUAGUUUUUUUUGUAAAACAUAUGUUUUAAAUCUGUUAAACCACGUGCAUUGGUUUGGAUUUGGUUACAAUGCACGUGGCUCUUAAUGUCCAUAUUAUUCCUUGAACGAAACAGUUUGUGUGUGUGUACACACUAUUUAAUUCUUGACGAAACAGUUUAAGAUA